GAGGGUGCGGGAGGGCGAAGCAGGCGGCUAGGGAGCCCCCUUCCAGAGUGGGUGGGCAGCGCGGUCCUGCAGAGCUGGAGCGGGGCCAGGGCGCCGCUGGGAGCUGGUGCCCACGUCUCCGGUGGCGGUGGCGGGCUGGCGGGCGGGCGACACGGGGAAAGGGACCCCCGCCCCGCCGGUGUCAGACUCGGACCCCAGACCCCGUCCCAGGUGAGGGCAGGGUGCUGCCUCUUUAAAAGCGGCCGGGCAGAGCCUCCCGCACCAUGUGAUGCUGGCGAGGCUGGGCCAGCGCUGCAGCGGAGCGAGGACAUGAGCUGCCGGCCGGCGUGGUGCCCGGAGCCCAGCCCAGCCCAGCCCCGCGCCCGCGCCCGUGUCCCCAGCUCUGGGCGGCAGCAGGUGCCCCCAACUUUGGGCACCACCUCUGGGCCCCCUGGCGGCCAGCAGACAGGCUGGUGAGCUCCUGGCACCCUGAUCUGGGGCAUUGGUGGGCAGAGGCAGGCUUGGGGACCUUGUGGGGCGUGUGCAGUGGAGCAGGAGGAGUGAGCGCUGCUCUCCCAAGUUGCUGAAUGAAACCUCGGGGGUGGUAAGGGGAGGGACAGAGACCAGGCAGAGAGAGGGCCAGGGGGUCUCACUAGCCCCAGCGGGCACCAUUGUGCCAAGUGGGCACAGCUCCAAGGGGAGGGAGCCCCGUCCCCUGUGUCCCCUGCCACCCACAGCCUCCCCACCCCAGCUUCCUGACCACAGGUGCCCCUCGCCGAUGUGCCCGGUCUCUGCCCGCCAUGCCGCCCGUUUCGGCCUUCCAGGCGGCCUACAUCAGCAUCGAGGUGCUCAUCGCCCUGGUGUCUGUGCCGGGGAACGUGCUGGUGAUCUGGGCCGUGCGGGUGAACCAGGCGCUGCGGGACGCCACCUUCUGCUUCAUUGCCUCGCUGGCCGUGGCUGACGUGGCCGUGGGCGCCCUGGUCAUCCCGCUCGCCAUCCUCAUCAACAUCGGGCCACAGACCUACUUCCACACCUGCCUCAUGGUCGCCUGCCCUGUGCUCAUCCUCACCCAGAGCUCCAUCCUGGCCCUGCUAGCCAUCGCCGUGGACCGCUACCUGCGCGUCAAGAUCCCGCUCCGGUACAAGACGGUGGUGACGCCCCGCAGGGCCGCGGUGGCCAUCGCCGGCUGCUGGAUCCUCUCCCUCGUGGUGGGCCUGACGCCCAUGUUUGGCUGGAACAACCUGGGUGCGGUGCAGCGGGCCUGGGCGGCCAACGGCAGCGCCGGGGAGCCCGUGAUCAAGUGCGAGUUCGAGAAGGUCAUCAGCAUGGAGUACAUGGUCUACUUCAACUUCUUCGUCUGGGUGCUGCCGCCGCUGCUGCUCAUGGCGCUCGUCUACCUGGAGGUGUUCUACCUGAUCCGCCGGCAGCUCAGCAAGAAGGUGUCGGCCUCCUCGGGCGACCCGCACAAGUACUACGGGAAGGAGCUGAAGAUCGCCAAGUCGCUGGCGCUCAUCCUCCUCCUCUUCGCGCUCAGCUGGCUGCCCCUGCACAUCCUGAACUGCAUCACCCUCUUCUGCCCGAGCUGCCACAAGCCCAGCCUCCUCACCUACAUCGCCAUCUUCCUCACGCACGGCAACUCCGCCAUGAACCCCAUCGUCUACGCCUUCCGCAUCCAGAAGUUCCGGGUCACCUUCCUCAAGAUUUGGAACGACCAUUUCCGCUGCCAGCCCGCACCCCCCGUGGACGAGGGCCCCCCGGAAGAGAGGCCGGACGACUAGACUCUCCCUGCCCACAGCCAGAGCACCUCAGCGCGGCCCUCACUCCCCACCAUCUAACUGUCUCCAUGGGCCUCCCGGCCGGGCCGGGGGUGUGGGGGCCGUCCAGGGGCGGAAGCCAGGCAGCCUGAGGGAGGAGGGAAGUUGGCUUGAGCCACCCCACCUGCUGCCUGUCCCCGGGCAGCCCCGCGUCUGGCAAAGGGCCCCCGUGGCGGCGAGGCCAUCUCCGCUCCUGCAGGUGGGGGCGCUCUCGUCUCAGCGGCUUGACCCUGCAGCCUGGGACCAGGCCUCAGGCGGGAGGACAUCCCCUCCAAGGCGCGUGAAGAAGAUGCCGUCUCUGAAGGAGAAGGUGGCCGAGCCAGUGAGGGGCAGCCACGAAGGAGCCUCAGGCCCCACCUCCCCAGCCCCAGGCUCCCGGCCGCGCUGGGGGCCACGGUGCUGCCCCCCUGCUCUGAGCAGCCCGAGACUGUACUUGAGAGGGAGGUCGGAAGAGCCAGUGCAGACGUCAUUUCCAACGUUGCUUUAUUCUGCACCAGCCUUCGGGGCCUGGUGCCCAGCAGCCAGUAGGGAGUGGUGGUGUGGGCCUCACCCAGCCAUCAGGUGGCAGCACUGAGCAUCCCCAGGAGGAAGCUGGAGUGUGACUAGCUGUCAUCCAGGACCAGCCCAGCAGGUCCACCUGCCCCCAGACAGGCCUGGACUCUCCUAAGUGGCAGCCUUCCCUGCUGGGCCUGGGCCUGAUGGAGACCCGUCAGCUCUCGAGAGCAUCGCGCCUCCUGCCGAGGGCUGGGCCAGGGGAGUGGCUGCCUGGGCCUCCUGGGAUGGGGGGUGACAGGCCGGAGCCAGACAGAGGGUCCAGCCCCUGAGAGAGGAGGCGGAAGGUCCUGCUGGCCUUUCACUACCCCCAGGGCCCUGGCAUGCAGCCCGGUUUUCAGGGCUGUGGGGUCCCUGCAGAGCCGAGGGUUUCAGGGUUUCUGGGGAAGAGCCCCCCUGCCGGGCUCAGAGCCCUGGUGCAGAGGGUGGAGGGGCGGAUUCUGUGUGAGUAUUGACUCCAGGCCUUGAUUCCAAGCCCUGGCCUCUCUCAGAGGUGCUGUGCCCUGCUCCCAGGGGGCACAUGACUAAUAAAAGACUGUGAAUCCACUUGCAGAGCCACUGCUAGGCACCCACCGCCACACCCGAGGGCGACAGACAGCCUCGCAGAGAAGACUCACUGGGGAUGUCAAGGAGUGGGAGCCGGGCAAUGUGGAGCCCCCCGGCUCCCCCCGGUUCCCGCGAGGGGGGCGUGUGUUCUUACAGCUAUUGGCUUGGGCUGGCAAGCCCUGAACGUGAGAGCAAGAUCCUGAAACAUCUCAGGUCAAGAAACCCCCUGACUCCCGAGUCCCCUCCCGUGGACCUUGCGCGUGGGGUCCCAUGGGGAGACCCUUAAUGGCGAUGCAUUCACCACUUUGCAGUGACACGGCGCCUCCCCCCAGACGAUCAUCACUGUCAGAGUCCCCGAGGGUACACAUGCACCUUUAUUGGACUGUUUCUUGCCCAGCAUGCAGCUCUUUGCAGGGCACAGCAAUCUUGGCACAGUCCAGGGCCCUUGUGCCCAGUAAGCCUGUCCCGGGGGCUGCCAGGCCCACUCCUGGGCACUGGGCUGCAGCCUUGGGUGGAGGGAGGUGAGGCUGGUGCCAGGGAGCAGAGCUGUCCAUCCGUCAUCACAACAGAGAGGGGUCUGGAGACUCAUGGCGCCGGAUAUGGGCCUGGCGGCCCUGACCCCUCAGGCCCACAGCACCUGGCAGAGAACACGUUCCAUGAGCCUGGUCUUGGCAAACCGGGCUGAGGGGUGAGGAGGGCAGGGAAAGCGGGCCCUGUCUCCUUCCUCGCGUCUGUGCUCAGCCCCUUCCCCCCUGUCCAGCACCUAAGAACCACCUCACAGAGAAGGUGGGCACGCGCUGUGGGCCCCACUUUUCUGAUGAGAAACAGGUCCAAGAGGGCACCCCAGCCCCAGGUCACUCAGAGCCAGGACUGGACCGUCCACCAAAUCACUGUCCCCAGGCCCCACCAGCAUUGCCCUGCCUGCCAGCUGCCCUGUCUCUGGACCGUGUGUGACUGCUGACCUGUGCCCAUGCUGACUGCCCCUCCCCUUCUCACCUGCCCCGCCCCUGCCCAGAUGCGACACCGGGAGCAGGUCCAGCAUUUACCUGUGUCUCCAUCACAGCCUCCUCCGUGCUCCUCAGUGUGUGGCUAAGGCUGGAAGAGAUCCCACAGGUCCCUCAGGAGAGACCCUCCUCCAACCCUCACCUUUGACCUCCAGCCGGCAGUCCACAGACGCCUCCCCCAGCAUGUUGACGGCCUUGCAGGUGUAGACCCCGGAAUCAAAGGGGCUGGGUUUCCGGAUCUCCAGGGUGUAGACGCCUUGCUCAGAGAAGGUGCGGUAUUUGGGGUCCCCCUGGAUGUUCAUGUUGUUCUUCAUCCAGAUGAUCUUGGGCUGGGGAGCAUGGCCACAGGGAGGCUGGGCAGGCUGUGGGCUGGGACGGGCUCUCCCAGGCCAGACUCCUCAGCCCCACCGCCCCUGAGGCGCAGCCGGGCCUGCACUCACCUUGGGUGACGCUCGCACGCUGCAGGAGAGCUGGGUGCUGUAGCCGGAGGUGGUGGUGUGGUCAGCCAGGGGCUGGGUGAAGGAAGGGGCUUCUGAGAAGUCUCUCUCAACAAACCCUUUAAGUUUGGCAACAAUAUCUGGGUUCAUGGGAGAAAAUGGGGUGAAUUUGAGAUUAUAGGAGGAGAUCUCUUAGGAUGGACCUCAGCCCUUUUCCCCAAACGAUCGCUACAGCUUCCAUCUAGGCAUCUUCUGACGACUGUGGCUCUGACGGCCUGGAGGAAGGUCUUAGCGUCCAGGGGACGAUGACAAUCCAUGCCCUCCUGCCCCUCCUCUGAGCGCCCUGGCGGGCCCCAGGCUCCUGGCCCGUGUGUGGGGACGUAGGACAGAGUGUCCUGGGGCAGAGCAAGGGGAGCUGAGAGGGUGGGCAGGAGAGCCAGAGAGAGGAGAGGAUCGUGGCUGAUGGUGGAGACCAGCAGUCUGGAGAUACUACAUGUUAUUUCUGUUUGUCUUUGGAGAAAUAACUGGCUUUCCUUUUUAAACAAAAAUUUCUCCCUAAUUCUGUGCAACUCAGGCUGCUGUUAACAAGUGUGUGCCUCUGCGUGGGGGAGGGCCUUGGAGCACGCAGGGUGACGGAGAAAGGGCCUGGAUUUAACCUUCGACGUGAGGGGUCUUGCCCCAUGUGGAGAGUAAAUGCUGAGUCUCUCCCGUCCAUCCACGUGGAGUUAUAUUAGGGUUGGAGGUCUGUGCUAUCAGCAAACUUGCCAGAGUCCACUGGCCCCACUGCCCUCAUGCUGGUUCUUUGGGGACAGUGCACCUGAGGCCUAAUGACCACUCUGAUGUCGGCAGCCACAGGGCAUCUGUGGAAUAAAUACACAGUCUCCCUCUCCCAAG
This is an RNA transcript of Myotis daubentonii (Daubenton's bat), 5226 nucleotides long. It is a transcript of the gene named adenosine A1 receptor, with no coding region annotated. The transcript has 3 exons. Lineage: Eukaryota; Metazoa; Chordata; Mammalia; Chiroptera; Vespertilionidae. The record is from RefSeq and is a predicted model, not a curated record.